Molecule: ribosomal RNA, 468 nt
Filed under: uncultured bacterium
Lineage: Bacteria
Description: partial 16S ribosomal RNA
Rfam family: Bacterial small subunit ribosomal RNA
Source: RNAcentral
GACGAACGCUGGCGGCGUGCUUAACACAUGCAAGUCGAACGGAAAGGCCCUGCUUUUGUGGGGUGCUCGAGUGGCGAACGGGUGAGUAACACGUGAGUAACCUGCCCUUGACUUUGGUAUAACUUCAGGAAACUGGGGCUAAUACCGGAUCGGAGCUCCUGCUGCAUGGUGGGGGUUGGAAAGUUUCGGCGGGUGUGGAUGGACUCGCGGCUUAUCAGCUUGUUGGUUGGGUAGUGGCUUACCAAGGCUUUGACGGGUAGCCGGCCUGAGAGGGUGACCGGCCACAUUGGGACUGAGAUACGGACCAGAGUGCAACGGGAGGCAGUAGGCGGGAAUAUUGCACAAUGGGAGGAAGUCUGAUGAGGCAACGCCGCGUGCGGGAUGACGGCCUUCGGGGUGUAAACCGCUUUCGCCUGUGACGAAGCGGGAGUGACGGUAAUGGGUAAAGAAGCACCGGCUAACUACGUG